RNA transcript from Cynoglossus semilaevis (tongue sole), 10256 nucleotides. It is a transcript of the gene named zinc finger protein 438, with no coding region annotated. The transcript has 24 exons. NCBI's taxonomy places the organism in Eukaryota, Metazoa, Chordata, Actinopteri, Pleuronectiformes, Cynoglossidae. The record is from RefSeq and is a predicted model, not a curated record.
AUCAUAAUUCAUAAAACGCUCAUAUCGAAGCAACCCCGCUACACCAACUUGACGGUUUGACUCAAAAUGGCUGAAGAGAAAACAGUAAUGGGGAUCGACGGUUUUGCAAGAUUUUUGCAGGAAAUUAGCCUUUCUGUAGAGUGAAGGCACUCCCGUCAUUUAACUGUGGACCCAGGUCACAGACAGUUCAUUGAAAAGAGUGGAGUCCAGCAAAAAGGGGACGUUCACCACCCAGGAAGAGGAGACGCAGUCACCCAGUAGUUGGUGGUGUGUGAUCCAGCCUGACUAAUGAAGAGCCUUCAGUUCCGGAGCAUUGCUCCAAAGGCCCCAGCUGUGGUGCCGUCCCCCUCCCCUGCAGUCCUGCCUGGUCAGUGUCCUUCUUCCCUUCCUGAGGCUACCACCGCCUCCAGCCCCAAAUCUGUCAUUGUGCCCACUCAAAAUUACACACUUAUGCAAAUAGCAAGUCAGGAUGGCACAUUCUCCCUGGUGGCACUGCCCCCCUCUGUCCCCUCUCAGACAACACCACCACAACAACAGCAGCAGCAGCAAACACAGUCAGUCCAGAAGAAUCUCAAACUGCCGAUCCCCAGGUACCAGCCAAUGAGGAGCAAGGGGAGUGUACCUAAGGUAAAGCCUCCAUCACCAGCCGUGAGGACGAAGGUGACUUGCAGCGAUGCCACUACAUCUCCGAUGAAGCCAGUGAGCCCAACCAGUAAGUUGUUGGUGAACACAGUGCCACCGACUACAGAGAUAAAACAGGAGUCAAAGUGCACUGAAACCAUAGUUCCCAAAGAGGAACCCACAGAGCAGCUAAUCCUCAUCAACCCAGGCUCCUCUGACAUCUCUGUAACAGCACUGCUUCCAGACAAUGCUGUCCUAUAUCCCAGCUCUCAACCGGAGCAGGCAACAGACCAGUCUGAACCACCAGCUUCAGGUGGUUUCAUACAGAAUUUCCAUUAUCAAUCCAGUUCUAUCAAAACCUCACCGAGUAAGUCUUCAGAAGACGGUAAGACCACUGCCAGUCUCUGCCAGUCUAAGCCCACUGUAGCACAGCCUCAGAGCAGCAUCACUCUCUUGUCUCCAGCCAUCUUCAGCAAAGCAGUUCAGAUUAUUCCAACGCCGCCCAAGGGGAAACUUCCCAUUAUGCCAUACUUGAAAAUGAAAAGUACUAUUGUCCCGGCUGCCAAGGUCGCAUCUAACAUCUCACCUGAGAAGAAAGGUUUGUCUUUUCAGACAGGACACGCAAGUUCCAUGAACACUGCAAACAACACCGUGGAGCCAGCCAAAAACAUGGGUCACAAUCAGGUAUCAAGCUCUGCUUUGCAGAACCAGGCCAAGACCACUGUUGUGCCUGUGUUUGGGAUUCUUCAGAAGCCUCCAAGUAAGAAGCGAGGUCGGAAGAGGAAGACAAUGGAGGACAUGCUGGCGUUUGAGGCCCGAAAAAAGCGAUCCUUGUCCUUCUUCCGAAGAAGGGUCCCUGAGAAGUCACCAGCAGUUGUUCCAGCCUCCAAGCAAAAGGAAGUGGAUAUUUCUAAAAAGUACCGCAGCAUCAGACCCAAGCCUAUUUUACUCAUGGAAACGGUUCCCCAGCUGGUUAGUUUGCCUGCGAUUACCUCAGAUGGCCAAGAACAGGAGCUUGUGCUUGGUCACCAGUUUUCCAAUACUCCCACAACCAAAUCUCCAGAUGGUCCUUCUCAGUCAGCGUCAGUAGCCCUCCAUCUAAGAGCUCCAUCUCAUCCGAGAAUGUUCGUGGGAAGCCGUCUCAUUCAUCACUGUCCGACCUGCAGUCGCUGUUUCCAGUUCAAGCAUCAUCUCCAGAGUCACAUGAACAGUCACACCAACAGUCGGCCCUACAUUUGUCUAGUGUGUCGCAAAGCCUACGCUCACUCUGGCAGCCUGAGCACACACAUGAAGCUUCAUCACUCUGAGGUGCGUCCACGUCGAUCUCUGUCCUGCGAAUUCUGUGAGAAGUCUUUUGGGUAUGUGGGUGUUUACUUUAGUCAUCUGAGGGAAGUCCACAAGGUGGUGCUGACCGUAGAGCCUUCCAUUAGCCAUCAUGAGGUUAAGGUUUCUCCUGAGGGUGACAGCGCACCAGAACCAUCAGAUGAGCAGGACUGCGAAGAUCCUGUGGAGCUGCAGAUCAAAUGUGGUCGCUGUCAGACAGUGACUCCCACAUUUGCCGACAUGAAGAUGCAUUUGCUCCACGUGCACAGGGUAAAGGUCCAUGUUGGACCUCCUGAAGGUUGGAAAGCCAGCGGUUGCCGCCAGGCAGAGAAGGAACUAGUAAAACAUGCUGCCCACUACUGGCGACAGCUCAACAAGAAACGCAACGUGGUGAAAUGCGGCAGUUGCGAUGAGGAGUUUUUCUCCUUCUCCAAGCUGGAGAAACACGUCAAGUCACACCACUGUGGGAAGGAGGACAUCGGUGGCACCGUCUCCUCCUCAGACUGUGGCGGAGGACUCGGUGUCCUCGCAGCAGGUUCUGCCUUCAACUGUGUUCUGUGCAGUAAAGUCAUGGACACUAAAGACGUGCUGAUGGAACACUGGAGGUGUUACCACCACUGUGAGCAACCAGACCUGCUGUGGGACGCUCUGAGCUCCUUCUCCGGUCAAGAGGAGUGUGAAGCAGACGGGGAGUUGGACACACCAGCUCCUAGUCCACACUGAACAGUCCAGCCUUUGAACGGUCACAGAGCCCUUUACUGUGGGUCCGACCCACAAGCUUUGUCCAAUCAUCAAUCGGCAGCACAGGGAGUAUUUCUUUUGCUUUUAGCAUCACUUCAUCUUCUUCUAGCUAAGGUUUGUAGCAUAGUCCAACGUGUGAGAAAUAUCAGUGGUGAAAUUCACUCUUCUCCAAUAAGUCAGAAUUUGUUUUCACGUGUGAUUGCACUAUUUUUAUUUUACUUUUCCUUUGGUUUUAAAGGUAUGUUAUACAUAUAUUUUUAGAAAUUGAUUUUUUUUCUGCAUAUACAAAAUGCCACAACAUUUCUUUACAAACUGUCAGACCCAGAAAACAUUUCCAGUAAAACUUUCCCUAUAAUACCCAGUCUACAUAUGUACACAACAUGUGUACUGCACAAAGACUGUUAAACAGCAGACAGCCAUGUUUGGUUGUGUUUAAGUGUCUCAGUAUAUAUAUAGUGUAUGUAAAAAAGAUAGAAACCACACUGUGGAAGUUGUCAUUAUAUGUCCUUUAAGUAUGAGCAAAGGUCGUCCUAUAUAAAAGAUACUAGAUAGGUUCAAAAAUAGCAAUGAUCUGGGAUCUUGAUGUGGCUCAGAAAAAAACUGUAACCAGUGUUUUUGGUAAUUUUUUAAAGUUAAAUACUCAUUUUUCCUUUUAAAAACAUUAGUAAAUUUUAAGAGUUAUUUAUAAAUGUAGCUCUGACUUUGUAUUUUUACACAUCACACUUUUGCAUUUGAAAAGGGAAAAGUAAUUUGGCUUGGUUUUAAGUCAACAGUUGGUGAACUCUUUGUGGCUUAAAUUCCACUGUGGUAUAAACAGUAUGUGGCAUUUUAAAUUGAACUGAUUUGAAGCUUGUACACAGUGAGGCUGUAUUUUUGUGAAAUGUAUUAUGUAGCUGUGGAAAGUAACUGGAUACAUUAAGUUACACUUUUAUUCCAGGAACUAUUGUCAAGGAAGUAAAUUGUGGAAAAAAGGGCCAACAAAACAAAAGAGCACAAAAAUGCCUUUGAUGUCUUAGUUGGUGCAGUGUUCAGAGUUAUCUGUGCUCCAAAAAAAAAAAAAAAAAUGGCGACAUGCUUAUUGCUGUAGCCUAAAUAACGGUACCACCAUCUCUUUAGUUCCUACGUUGAAAAAGCACAUAUACCUAGUCCUGGUACUGUCCUUGUUGAUGGAAGCACAUCACAUUAUUUCUUCUACAACAAACAUUAAAAAAGAAAAGGCACUUACUGAUUGGCCGUCUUCACCACCCUGUCAGUUCUUUUCUGGAGGGUCUUAUGUGUUAUUGUUAACCGCCACUGGCAGUGUAACAUGUAGAACCCUUACCAACAUUUUUGAGCCCUUCUAAAAAUAAGCAUUAUUUAUAUGUGAUGUGAAAGGCCCGGUGUGGUUCUCCGUAGGUCAGGUUUAGCUCCUCGGCUUGUUGAUUAAUGCCUGUAUGUGUAUUCUGUGUUAUGCCAAGGGUCUGUUCACACCCGUAAUUGUUGUGAUUUUUGCAUUUAAGCUUGUUCCUACUGACAGUAUACUGUUGGUUUAUAUAUAUAUAUAUAUAUAUAAAACCAUCAGAUGCCUACCUGUUGUUGCCAGCUCAUAUACACACCUGUGGAAUUGUGUGCAACCCAACUCUGUUGUUAGAGUUAUUAUGAACUUUGUUGUGGAGUCCAGAAAAAUAUGCUAUUUUAUAUUCUAGGUGGAUGCAGUUCCUUCAGUAUAUCUAUGCCUGUGGCUGGUACUUGGUUCCAGCGCCCCAGACAUUUGUUAUGUUUGCUUCUACAAAAGUUUGGGAUGCUUGUGUCGUAUUUCUGGGUUAGGUGGUCACACUGUAGCGAUAUUAGAAUCGACGUUUAUCUUUUAUAUGCAAAAAAAGAAAAGAAAUCACAGGGUAAAGUGAAUGUACCUGAAUGUUUGUUUUUUUUUAAAAACCACCAAAUGCAUAUUCUAUAUAGACUUCUAUAGAUAGUAUAUAUAGAUAUAUAUGAAUAUAUACUUAUAUGAGAAAAAAUAUAUAUAUUUACAUGGAGUAACUAGUGACAGCUGCUUUGUUCUAUUACAGGGAAAGAAUGAAACAGAGAUAAUAACACAGCACAAAAAUGUCAGGACUGGCAACAGAAGCCAUGCGGAGCUGUCCUUAUGUGUCGGACACAAACACAGGCCUGGGAACGAAGGGCAGACACUGAUGUGCACAUGUCACACUGAGCGGCUAAAGAUGCCGUUGACCUCGUCCUCACAGGCUCCCUUCCAGGAAGUGAAACCCGUUGCUGUCAUGAAAUUGGAAAAGACAUGAGUUUUACACGCAGGAAAUCAAAAUGAAUGUGGAGUCAGACCGAAUGAGAGUCACAUCCAUCAGCAGAGAUUCAGAGAAUGGAGUUAAUUGAUAUUCUUCCCUAAUAGGUAGGAGUAUGUGUGUGAGCGCGUGUGUGUGUGUCCAGAGUUAGGGUCAGCUAAGUGGGUUUGCCAGAGGGCUUUUAUUGAGCGCACAUAUGCCUCACCUCUGUGCUUCUCCCCUCCCCAAAGACCGUCCAUCUGUCGUCUACUGCAUCACAAAACAGUCCUUCAACGCAAACUCCUCUAGUUUUUACCUGAUCUGCAAUUAUCUCUUAUUAAAUAGACUAGAGUGGCAGCUCCAGGAGUCGACACCGAGCUGUAGAGAGACAAAAGAAACAUCUUUAUUCUGCAUGACUUUGGAUACGGUUCAAAAACAACCAGUUCAGUCAUUCUUUACUGUUACUCUACGCUGUACCCUCAGUGGCAAACACUGUUGUCUAUCAAGUAUGGGCUAGGCUCUAAUACAGACAUUUGGUUGGUGGCCAGGUAAUGAGAAAUUUGUUGGAAUCACAGUUCAAUCGAAAUGGCAAGAGGAACUCACUUAUGUAUGUCAAGUCAAUAUACUGUAUAUGCAGCACCAAGUAUUAAUGUACACUUUUUACAGAUUAGACUAAGAGUUAGGCUAUGUGUAAUAUUGAUGGCACACAGUGGGGGGAGCUAGAGAGUCUGUUGGCCCCUGGGCAGGAAGUACUUCCUGUGGUCAUCUGUGGUGCAGCUGAUUGAAAAAGUCUGUUGCUGUUGGUUUGCAUAGACAUGUUGUAGUGAUUCCCAACCACUGGGCCGUGGCCCACCAGUGUGCCGCGAAAGAUCAUUAGGUGUACCAUGGAAAAUGAUCUGAUUUGACUUAAUUGGGUUGAAAACUAUUAUUUAUUUAUUGCUCAUCAAAGCAUGAAGCUCAUGAAAGGCAGAACAAUUACUACUUAAAUACUCUCCUGCUAGGUGGCAGCAGAUGGCUAUGAAAACUAUAAAAAAGAUAUUUGUGGGUGUCUUUCUUCAAUUUCUGCCAGUAUAUCAGUGUUGUCUUCAACUAAACAGGCCGAGAUUUUAAUCAAUUAUGAGGUUUUCUGAAGGGAUAAUUACACAGUGAAGAAUGCACUUUUUGUUUCCUUGCGACCACAACCAAACAUCCUGUGCUAAGAUCCAGACCCGGCCCGGCUCGUCAUCGUCACACCCGUGUAGAAUGCAGGUCUUUGGUUCUAAUUGAUUUGAAGGUACACAGGUCAAAGGGCAUUUCUACUGUGAUUUUUUUUCACUGCUUUGAGUCAAACAAGCAACAACUCCCUUUCUUCCUCCUGACACUGAACAACCUCAACCUGCACAACUUCUGCCAACUACUCUGCAGGCUCUCUGAGGUUUCAGAUAAGACUGAGUCAACUUCAGGUGGCUUUUAGCUCCGACAGAACACAGAAAAAAGAGCUGCAACAUCAGUACAUAUCAGGCCCAAUCGCGUGUCACCAUUGCACCACAUCGCAGCCACAGAUAAAAAGCGAAGCCCUAUACAGUGAUGCAUAUUUCCCUUUAAUCAGAGCUAACGUGUAGCACAGUCGUCACACAGCACUCCCACCUCGCUGAGGCUCUCAGGGGGAGAGGAGAGAUCAAAAACACACUCCUGCUUGUACAUGAUCAGUGGAAAAGAAAGAGAACUGGAGGCUGCUCUUUCUUUCUUCUUCCUUGCUUUCUUGCUUUCCACAGGUCUUUGACGUGCUCCCCUCGACAAGACAAGACAAGGUCCUGGAACUGUAUUGUAAAUCCACUACAUCAGGAACAGGACGAUGAGGCUCUCUACCAGUCACAGAGUAACGAGUGUCUUCAAACCAUGCCGUUGUUAAUUAUUGUUCCCUCACACAGCUCCAAACACAGUCCUGAAUGUUACACCAAGCUGUUGUUGAGAACGUUCUGGAUUGACUUUGGACCUGAAAUGUGGAUAGAACCACGGUUCCAUCCCUGGUCCUUGUUUAUAGAGUUUACAUGUUCUAUCUGUGUGUGUGUUUUUUCCCACAAAAUGAUUACGAGGUUAACUGAACUGUCUACAUCAACCACAGGUAUGUAUGUGGAUGUGUGUAGUUGUUGGUCUGAUGUGGCCUUGUGAUUGGCUGGUGAAGUGUUAUGGUUGACCCCAUUAGGACUGGCUACCACUUCCACUUUGAAUAAAGCAGAAGGACAACAGGAAGUUAUGAGUAAAAAAGUAACAAUAACACAUACAGAAAAACCCUGUAUACCCUGCAGUAUAAGAAAGUCCUGGGUGAUGUUUCUGGAAACUUCUUUGUUCUACCUUGUACUGCAUAUGUUCAUUUGAUAAAACUCCUAGAGAAUGUUUUCGUAACCUUUCCUUUCUUGUUUCACGCAGACUGGAAACUUGACGCCAAGAAUCACACUCGGCACCUCAAAUAACCAAAGUGGCGUCUUAUGUGGAAAGCACGAGGAAAGAUUUAUGGGGCGGUAAAAAUGCGACCCACCUAGAUUAGAAAGGUCUCUCGAUCAACUUAGCUGGGGGUGUAAUGAGAGUACGACCCGCCCUUCGCUCUCCCACUCCUGCCUCCUGGCUUUGCAGUGGUCAAGCGGUAUCUGAUGCCACUCUGUCUGUGCACACUAACACCCAUGAAGCCCAUGUCAGCAUGUGCACCAUGAUGCUGAAGCAUGCGUCCACUCAUCAAACUUGGAGAUCUGAUCUGCCUUCCCCUUCCUUCCCCUGCUGCCUCUCGGUCUCAGGUGUCCCAUCUGCCCCCACCCUCCCAGAUUAGUCAUCUAAUGAAGCAGAGCUGAUCAGGUUAAUAAUUGAUGGCGAGCGGCUAGAGAGAGGCUUCGAUCUGAGCCAGGCUGUGGCUCUAAAUGGAACGGAGGAGCAGACACCUCAGGAGGAUAUGCAGAUGCAGAUGAGGCAAAGAAGGAUGUUUUCCAGAAUUCUACAGGAAAGGAGCUCCAGCUCACCACCCUCUGUCUCAAUCAUACGGACAGAUAAACGGAUGAACUCAACUUGUACAUCUUCAUACAGCCAGUGUGUGAAGGCUUUAGGUCAAAACCUGACUCUGACAUUUCUGCCAAUCCUGGGUAUGUGAAUGAAGUCAUGUCUCCAAGGAUAACUGGGAGUUGACAUUGAAAAUUAAAAAGAAAAAAAAGGAAUUCGCGGAGAACAGAGAGCAUCUUUCUGCAGUCAUCGUGGCUCCAGGGAAUGUGAGGAGAUAACUGGAUGAUAAUGCUGUUCUCUGCCUUUAGGGAAUUACGUCUGCAUGAUCAGUAACCUACAUUUACUGAGCAGGCGUACAAAUAAGGGCUACAGCUGGAAGUCGUCAGCGAGCCAGAGCUUCAAGAACCAUAUUUCAACGUCAGCAGAAGUAGAAUAACCCCUGACCUUCGACGUUCAACUGUUGAAGUAAAUGCUCAUGUAUCAGACAUUUUACUGAGGAGAAAACAACAGACCUGCGACCCAGGGCUGGUACGUAGGAGGGCACAUCAGCAGAAGAAGAAGAAGAAGAAAUAAACCUGGGCAGGAGCUUCUUAAGGAUCGGUCAGAGGUCCACAGACCAAUGACAGGAGGAUCAACAUGGAGAGACCAGACCAACACCAUGAAUGGAGACUGUUCAGCUGUUGUCUGAGAUAACACGCUCUUAGAAACUGAGAAGAACUUCAACACCUCCCAAAAGGAUUCGAUUCGGCAGGAGGUGAAAAAUGCGGAGGGCGGUAUAUUCAGUCUCUUCGGCUUUGAGUCAGUGCUGAGGGUGAAUUGGUUGUAAAGAAUACAGGAAGCUGUCAACGGGCUUUACAGGACCAAAUUCAAUGUGAAUGGGAACAGGAUUAAAAUCAUAUAUUCAAUUGUGGCUCCUGGUAAAGAGAAUUCUCCUAAGAUGACUUCAACACCCUUGUCGGGCUAAAUUAGAGGCAACCGUUGGAUUAAAGAUGGUUCAGAUUCCAGCGCAAACAAACAAAAGAGGAAUUACAAACCAGGUUUCAAACUCUCCUCUGAUUCAAGCUCAGCGCUACAAUAGCCCCUUCAUCGGUACUUUCUUCCAGAGGUAGACUGAAUACCUUUUGGCUACAAGUCACAGAAGCAGAGGUGGUCUGGGAGGGAGUGUAAAUCAAAGAAGGAGGGAUCAGAGGAAUAGAACUUGUGUCUCUGGGCCUGACGUGGAACCGCCUCUGUGAUGUGAGAGAGAGGAGGAAAAUUCACAAGACGUUGAAGGAGGUGGCGUCGAAGGGACUGCAAUCAAAACUCCAUCAGCGUCUGUGGAGCUGAGACCAAUAUGUUUCAGCCUGUUCCUUUAAUCUGGGCCAGGAAAAAUGACUUUACUUCUCUAAGAUGGUGAUGAUGAGCCAGUUUACCUACAGUACUCUGCCUUUUUUUAACUUAAGUGGAACACCAGUGCAGGGAUUUUUGAAAAAAUGGAUUUCAUCCACAGAACAAAAUGCUCAUCUACUGACACCUACAUUUGCUGAAGUUUAUAUCAACCAGUGUGCUUGAUGGUUUGAAACUCCAUACACUGGCUGACUUGUCCUGGCCUGUCCUAGGAGGAGGAAAGAGGAGACGGCUGGAGGAGAGUGAUGCUCUUUAGACGGAGUAUCAUUUAUCGCUGAGCAAAGGAGGCAGACUGUGACAAAUGCUGCUCCCGAGCAGAGCUGUGUAGUCCGGCGAAAGAUGCUGAUGAAAGGAAGGGAGAGAAAGUGAGGUGUGGAGCCAAAAAAAUUGGAAAAGAAAAGAAAAAACCGGGCCGUGCUUGUUUGUGUUUCUUCCCGGUGACUCUGCACUCUUCAUUAAUGCACGGCAAUUUACUCGUGGGUGUGGAGUCACAGCAUCAAGUCAAGAACAGUAUGAUCAAACACCAGCGCUGGUGCUAGCCAACUCACAGAGGCAGCCUUUUUGUUUUUCCUCAAUAUUCUUUUUCCUGCCAGGCUUUAUGUCAAAAGGAAGAAAGGCAAAGGUUCUUAUAUGGAGGAGAGAAAAGCAGGGGCCUCGCACGUUAACACGCUCCAUUCUGUGCAGCAGUGAAGAAGAGGAGGAGGAGGAGUAUUCCCGUCGCUUCCACUGAGGAAUGUUAACAGGUGUUGGCUCCGCUUUAAUUCUGCAAGAAGUGUAACGGGACAAAAGAACAACUGGCUGAAGCAUCUGUUCUCUGCCCAGUGGGGAAACUGGAUCCUGGGCCAAAAUCACCCCUGAGACCCAAAAAACAGAGAGCUACUUUUCCCUCUGCCUGCUGUUUAUCACAGCUGAAGAUGUUUAGCUACAGUUUUCAGUAACUGUGGAAUAGUCCAAAUAAAU